GGUCAUGAGCGACAGCCAUCAGGCCCCGGCCGGCUGUCCGGCAACCCUCCGUCCGUGGCGGGGUGCCCCGGGUGAGGACCAGGCCGUGAGCAGCAGGGCUCGCGGCAAGCGCGGACC
Streptomyces sp. H-KF8 is the source of this 117-nucleotide regulatory RNA element. It matches the Rfam family "SAM (S-adenosyl methionine) riboswitch aptamer". Rfam says of the family: SAM-IV is a mRNA element that regulates gene expression via direct sensing of S-adenosylmethionine (SAM or AdoMet). SAM-IV riboswitches share conserved nucleotide positions with the previously described SAM-I riboswitches sequence analysis and molecular recognition experiments suggest that SAM-I and SAM-IV riboswitches share similar ligand binding sites, but have different scaffolds. Lineage: Bacteria; Bacillati; Actinomycetota; Actinomycetes; Kitasatosporales; Streptomycetaceae. The record is from Rfam.